UGUUUCGGCAAGGGGGUCAUCCCGACUUACCAACCCGAUGCAAACUGCGAAUACCGGAGAAUGUUAUCACGGGAGACACACGGCGGGUGCUAACGUCCGUCGUGAAGAGGGAAACAACCCAGACCGCCAGCUAAGGUCCCAAAGUCAUGGUUAAGUGGGAAACGAUGUGGGAAGGCCCAGACAGCCAGGAUGUUGGCUUAGAAGCAGCCAUCAUUUAAAGAAAGCGUAAUAGCUCACUGGUCGAGUCGGCCUGCGCGGAAGAUGUAACGGGGCUAAACCAUGCACCGAAGCUGCGGCAGCGACGCUUAUGCGUUGUUGGGUAGGGGAGCGUUCUGUAAGCCUGUGAAGGUGUGCUGUGAGGCAUGCUGGAGGUAUCAGAAGUGCGAAUGCUGACAUAAGUAACGAUAAAGCGGGUGAAAAGCCCGCUCGCCGGAAGACCAAGGGUUCCUGUCCAACGUUAAUCGGGGCAGGGUGAGUCGACCCCUAAGGCGAGGCCGAAAGGCGUAGUCGAUGGGAAACAGGUUAAUAUUCCUGUACUUGGUGUUACUGCGAAGGGGGGACGGAGAAGGCUAUGUUGGCCGGGCGACGGUUGUCCCGGUUUAAGCGUGUAGGCUGGUUUUCCAGGCAAAUCCGGAAAAUCAAGGCUGA
Molecule: ribosomal RNA, 648 nt
Filed under: Escherichia coli
Lineage: Bacteria; Pseudomonadati; Pseudomonadota; Gammaproteobacteria; Enterobacterales; Enterobacteriaceae
Description: partial 23S ribosomal RNA
Rfam family: Bacterial large subunit ribosomal RNA
Source: RNAcentral